This 66-nucleotide transfer RNA is filed under the name Bidyanus bidyanus (Bidyan perch). Its description in RNAcentral is "tRNA-Cys". It matches the Rfam family "tRNA". From Rfam's summary of the family: Transfer RNA (tRNA) molecules are approximately 80 nucleotides in length. Their secondary structure includes four short double-helical elements and three loops (D, anti-codon, and T loops). The record is from RNAcentral. Lineage: Eukaryota; Metazoa; Chordata; Actinopteri; Centrarchiformes; Terapontidae.
AGUCCCGAGGUGUCACCACAUUAGUUUGCAAGCCUAAAGUUGCAGGUUAAACCCCUGCCGGGACUU